RNAcentral lists this ribosomal RNA (253 nucleotides) under uncultured bacterium. RNAcentral describes it as "partial 16S ribosomal RNA". It matches the Rfam family "Bacterial small subunit ribosomal RNA", at positions 524 to 776 of the family's 1533-position model. The record is from RNAcentral.
UACGUAGGGACCGAGCGUUGUCCGGAAUCAUUGGGCGUAAAGAGCGUGUAGGCGGCCACUUAAGUCCUGCGUGAAAUCUUGCGGCUCAACCGCAAGCGGUCGUGGGAAACUGGGUGGCUAGAGUGCGGGAGAGGAGAGUGGAAUUCCUGGUGUAGCGGUGGAAUGCGCAGAUAUCAGGAAGAACACCCGUGGCGAAGGCGGCUCUCUGGAACGCAACUGACGCUGAGACGCGAAAGCCAGGGGAGCGAACGGG